ACACAGGGCGCACUUAUUAAGGUAUAUAUGUACAUACUUUGUUUUUCAACGUUGCAGGUUGUUGCACACUAAUCUACAAAUUUCACAAAGACUCAAAGACUCACCUUAAUGAAAAUGAAAACAGUCACGCCGAAUCUAGUCGGAUCCCAACUGUUGCAGUUGCACUCCAUGAAAGUCCACAAGUCAAAGACUGUAUUUGUAAUACCGGGUAAUCAAGGAGUAUAGGGGUAUAUUAAAUUCGUGUGGAUUCCAGAUGGAAGCGUUUCCAACCCCAUAAUGUAUAUUGGCGCUCCUGGCGAGGCCCCCGGUACGCCUAGGAAUAUGCUUAAAAACUAAUUAUUUUAGUUAUGCGAUUAGUUUUCCCAUGUGGCCCAUAUGGGGUUUCCGAAUAAAAUAAAUAAAUGAUUGCGAUUUGCAUUUGUGGCGAACCGGUGGAUCAGAAAACAAAGCCUCAUAUUUCGAACGUCUCUAAUACCAGGAUGCACACAUUUAAGAGAACAUAAGGUACAUAAGGUACUCAAAUACUGCAAACGGCAGAAACAAAUGCAUAAAUGCCAUGGCAAUUGGUGUACUUUAAAGGAAUAUUUCGUUUAUUUAUCGAAUACAUUGAAAUGCAUACACGAGUUGGUUUCCUCAAAUGGUUUUUUGUUUUGUUUUUUGUCGUUUUUUUUAUCUUUAUAUUACUUUGUAUUUGUUUAAAUAAAUAAGAUACAUACGUUUAAUCAUAAUAGCAGUAUUUAUCGUGCAAAUUUGAUAAGCAUAAUAAUGGUUUACGUUUGCUCGUUCGUCUCUUGCAAGUUUUUGUUUGUCUC
Molecule: long non-coding RNA, 812 nt
Organism: Drosophila pseudoobscura
Lineage: Eukaryota; Metazoa; Arthropoda; Insecta; Diptera; Drosophilidae
Exons: 2
Source: RefSeq, a predicted model, not a curated record